CUAUUCAAUGGAUGUGUGAGUCUUGAAAAGCUAAGGACCCGAGUCACAUCUGUUUCUUGCUCAGGACAUAUCCACUUCGGGAUGACAGAUGGCAUCCCUGGCCUGGGGCUCUCCUGAAGCUCCUAUAUAUAGUGUGGCUUUUGCUGAUGGCUGGGGGGACCAGGUCAUACCCCAGGAUCUUUUUCUCCUUAAAUGUGUUUCCCUAUUUUCAACGACUGUAUAUACUGGGAAAUUCAAUGUUCUUGUUCAAAUUUACAAAAAAUUAAUUUAUUCUCGUAAAUAAAACUCUUC
Molecule: long non-coding RNA, 291 nt
Filed under: Bos taurus (domestic cattle)
Lineage: Eukaryota; Metazoa; Chordata; Mammalia; Artiodactyla; Bovidae
Description: long non-coding RNA NONBTAT015646
Source: RNAcentral